GCGCAGGUGGCGAAAUUGGUAGACGCACUACCUUGAGGUGGUAGCGCCCGCAAGGGCUUGCUGGUUCGAGUCCAGUCCUGCGCA
RNAcentral lists this transfer RNA (84 nucleotides) under Patescibacteria group bacterium. RNAcentral's name for it is "tRNA-Leu". It matches the Rfam family "tRNA". Rfam says of the family: Transfer RNA (tRNA) molecules are approximately 80 nucleotides in length. Their secondary structure includes four short double-helical elements and three loops (D, anti-codon, and T loops). Further hydrogen bonds mediate the characteristic L-shaped molecular structure. tRNAs have two regions of fundamental functional importance: the anti-codon, which is responsible for specific mRNA codon recognition, and the 3' end, to which the tRNAs corresponding amino acid is attached (by aminoacyl-tRNA synthetases). tRNAs cope with the degeneracy of the genetic code in two manners: having more than one tRNA (with a specific anti-codon) for a particular amino acid; and 'wobble' base-pairing, i.e. permitting non-standard base-pairing at the 3rd anti-codon position. The record is from RNAcentral. RNAcentral also lists the same sequence under 1 other name.